GUUGAGAGGUCACGCUUUGUGCUGUUUCAUCGGCGUCUUUGCGCUCUCUUGUGGUUGUGGAGGGGAAAACGUCUGCCGCUGCAAACCCAGCCUUGGAAGAAGAUGAGAUCCGAAUUUCAACACUCCAGCAAAUCCAUGUCACGAGUCCACGUGGAGCACGUCAGCCAUUUUGAACAACAGCAAAUCAACUCGAUGAAAAAGAUGCGGCCUGAACUCACUCUCCCCUGGGGGUCUGACCUGCACUUGAGGACAAUCCAGGCCUGGCUGGGUAAUCAUUGACCUGUUCCCCGUGGCAAUCAAGUCACAACAUACUGUACAACAACUGGGCUGUCGAUAAUAAAGUGAUCAUAUCUCCACAGGUGCAUGAACCCAAUCAGACAGAUGAGGAUGUAUCACAUUUCAGACCAGAAAUUUCAACACGGACCUCCGUGAUAUGCACUGUGCAUUUUCGUUAUCACCGUUACUCAGUGGUGGGUCAUACAGGUGAAAUCGACAUGGCAAUGCAUAGGUGCUGAAAUAUGAUUGGGGAAAAAAAAAUUUUUGCAAAUAGACAAUCAUCUCAGAAGUUGUUACCCCCUGGAUCAGAUUUCAGUCGGGGUCGCACACCGGGCUGGUCCCGGCUCAGUUCUGCACAAAAUCGAUCUUUUAGUGGUGCAAGGUGGGGCGUGCGCCGCACUGCAGCACUGCUUUGUAGCGGGGCAUGCAAAGGUAAAAAAAAAAAAAGUGGAAGGAGCUGGGUGGGAUGGGAGGCGGCAGUUUGGCCCUUUGCAAGAGCCACCUCCCACUUCUCACUUUUCCACACCUCCUCACUCCCCGGCCAUUUUCGCCUCCUCAAGCUGUACUCCUCCGUACUCUCUCCACUAACUCCGGCAACGAGCCUAUGGCCUGAAAUUCAACUAAAAGGGGCCUCGGCUGCCUCGGUUCGAGCUUAAUGUUUCUUCAUAUGACUUGAUAAUUAUAGUGUCAAUCAAAAUUAGACUCGGUCCUCUUCCUGAUACAAUCUUAAUUGAUGGUAUGAGUGAAUAAAGUGAAUCACAUGGGAGACUGGUGGCUUUUUAGGUGUGCAGCUUAUAAGAGUAAAACGCCACCGAUGAUAAUAAACCAUCAAUUGUUUAUUCGAGUGACUUUCCACACUUUUGCAACUUUUCUUAAUUUUUUUCCCCCCCUCCGUGUAGUUUUUAUUUAAAUAAACCACAAAACAGUCAAGUUAGAGAAGUACAGUAUAAGUUUUGCUUGGUUUCCCUAAUUUACAUUAAUUAGAAAACCCACCAUCCAGAAAUGAAUUUAAAUCCAUUGACUUUUAUAAAAGUACACAGUGAGUAUUAUAGACAAAUCCAUCUCAAUUCUUUUCAUAACGUAAGAUUAAAUUCUUUAAUUUUAAAUGGACAUACAUCAGUGUGUUAAGUAUUGGGUGAAAUAUAUAAAUAGUAUAAAAUCUCAUCUUUAAAGUAUGUUUGAAAAAUACGUGAACAAAAUCAAAUGAAGUGAAUCAAAUGUAGA
This is a long non-coding RNA of Hippocampus comes (tiger tail seahorse), 1500 nucleotides long. RefSeq lists it as uncharacterized. The transcript has 3 exons. Lineage: Eukaryota; Metazoa; Chordata; Actinopteri; Syngnathiformes; Syngnathidae. The record is from RefSeq and is a predicted model, not a curated record.